RNAcentral lists this ribosomal RNA (335 nucleotides) under Ethelastia liturata. RNAcentral describes it as "partial large subunit ribosomal RNA". Lineage: Eukaryota; Metazoa; Arthropoda; Insecta; Hemiptera; Miridae. The record is from RNAcentral.
CUUUAUUUUAUAGAAAAAAAUUAAUUUCUGAAUUAAAAAGUUUAGAUAUUAUUAUAGGACGAGAAGACCCUAUAGAACUUUAUUUUUMUGAUAAUAAUUAUUUAUUUGAUAAUAAUUUUUGUAUAUUUUUAUAUAAAUUUUGUUGGGGUGACAAAAAAAUAUUUUUAACUUCUUUUUACUUUUAUCAUUUAUAUAUGAGUUUUUGAUCCUWUAUUAUGGAUAAUAAGAUUAAGUUAUCCUUAGGGAUAACAGCGUUAUYAUUUUGGAGAGHUCAUAUCGAUAAAAKAGAUKGCGACCUCGAUGUUGGAUUAAAAUUAGCUUUAGGAGUAGAAAAU